UAGGGUCUGAUCGCUGCCUGAGACACCAUAUCGGUACUCCUCAGAGUUGAGAAUAGACGCCUUGAUGGCUCCUCUGGCAGUUCUUGAUGACCAUGGAUGAGCUAAUGGCUGUGGUCUCAAUGGUGGCUUCUUGAGGAGCAUGCAGAGAAAUUGCUUUAGCCUCUGAUAAAUAAAACAGACUGCGAGGAAAAUUACAGCGAGGAAAUUACAGACAUCAUCUCCUUUGAACAGGGAAAAGGUAACAGGUUCUCCACAGGCAACCCAUUUAUCAGAACCACGUGGACAUCUUUCAACUAUCCUGGACAACAACCAUGUUAUUUCUUAGCCAUUGGACUUCCACCUUAUCUUUAUUGAGUUCUGCUAAAAAGACAACAUCAGCACCAGGGGCUUCAAGAAUAUCUUGUGGAGGCCUGAUGAUCUCAACAGGAAUUUCUGGAAAGAAAAUGUGAAAUAAAUACAAAUAUGUUUACAUUUUGAUUAACAAUUUUAAAAAAUUGGUAACAUUAGAAUUGUUUUUUCACUUAAUAUGUACCUUCCACAAAAAGUCUAGCACGAGACUUCCUGUCUUCUACCCCGCAAGCAUAUUCACACUCAUCAUCCAGCCUGCAAUCUUUUAUAAUGAGUCUGUGUAUACUUCCAUCUUUUUCAAAUUUGUAUCUAAAGGAGACAUUGGAUUAUCAGUUAGCUUGCAAU
RNAcentral lists this long non-coding RNA (693 nucleotides) under Homo sapiens (human). RNAcentral's name for it is "TTN antisense RNA 1". The record is from RNAcentral. Lineage: Eukaryota; Metazoa; Chordata; Mammalia; Primates; Hominidae.